This 460-nucleotide ribosomal RNA is filed under the name uncultured bacterium. Its description in RNAcentral is "partial 16S ribosomal RNA". It matches the Rfam family "Bacterial small subunit ribosomal RNA", at positions 338 to 795 of the family's 1533-position model. The record is from RNAcentral.
CCUACGGGGGGCAGCAGUGAGGAAUAUUGGUCAAUGGACGAGAGUCUGAACCAGCCAAGUAGCGUGAAGGAUGACUGCCCUAUGGGUUGUAAACUUCUUUUAUAUGGGAAUAAAAUGUUCCACGUGUGGGAUUUUGUAUGUACCCUAUGAAUAAGGAUCGGCUAACUCCGUGCCCGCAGCCGCGGUAAUACGGAGGAUCCGAGCGUUAUCCGGAUUUAUUGGGUUUAAAGGGAGCGUAGGUGGAUUUUUAAGUCAGUUGUGAAAGUUUGCGGCUCAACCGUAAAAUUGCAGUUGAAACUGGCAGUCUUGAGUACAGUAGAGGUGAGCGGAAUUCGUGGUGUAGCGGUGAAAUGCUUAGAUAUCACGAAGAACUCCGGUUGCGAAGGCAGCUCACUGGACUGCAACUGACACUGAGGCUCGAAAGUGUGGGGAGCAAACAGGAUUAGAUACCCGAGUAGUC